RNAcentral lists this ribosomal RNA (465 nucleotides) under Vreelandella stevensii. RNAcentral's name for it is "partial 16S ribosomal RNA". It matches the Rfam family "Bacterial small subunit ribosomal RNA", at positions 338 to 795 of the family's 1533-position model. The record is from RNAcentral. Lineage: Bacteria; Pseudomonadati; Pseudomonadota; Gammaproteobacteria; Oceanospirillales; Halomonadaceae.
CCUACGGGUGGCAGCAGUGGGGAAUAUUGGACAAUGGGCGAAAGCCUGAUCCAGCCAUGCCGCGUGUGUGAAGAAGGCCUUCGGGUUGUAAAGCACUUUCAGUGGGGAAGAAAGCCUUGGGGCUAAUACCCUCGAGGAAGGACAUCACCCACAGAAGAAGCACCGGCUAACUCCGUGCCAGCAGCCGCGGUAAUACGGAGGGUGCGAGCGUUAAUCGGAAUUACUGGGCGUAAAGCGCGCGUAGGCGGUCUGAUAAGCCGGUUGUGAAAGCCCCGGGCUCAACCUGGGAACGGCAUCCGGAAAUGUCAGGAUAGAGUGCAGGAGAGGAAGGUAGAAUUCCCGGUGUAGCGGUGAAAUGCGUAGAGAUCGGGAGGAAUACCAGUGGCGAAGGCGGCCUUCUGGACUGACACUGACGCUGAGGUGCGAAAGCGUGGGUAGCAAACAGGAUUAGAUACCCGAGUAGUC